This 161-nucleotide non-coding RNA is filed under the name uncultured Bilophila sp. The record is from RNAcentral. Lineage: Bacteria; Pseudomonadati; Thermodesulfobacteriota; Desulfovibrionia; Desulfovibrionales; Desulfovibrionaceae.
AUUCGGGUGUCCGGCGUGUGCGCCGGAAGAAUUGGAAAGUUCGGUUGGAAACCGACGCUGGCCCGCAACCGUGAAAGGGGACGAUUCCGCAUACGCCACUGCGGUUCCGCCGUGGGAAGGCGCGGAAGAGGGGGAACCUUGAGCCGGGAAGCCAGCCCGAC